RNAcentral lists this transfer RNA (73 nucleotides) under Candidatus Nomurabacteria bacterium. RNAcentral's name for it is "tRNA-Thr". It matches the Rfam family "tRNA". From Rfam's summary of the family: Transfer RNA (tRNA) molecules are approximately 80 nucleotides in length. The record is from RNAcentral. Lineage: Bacteria; Candidatus Nomuraibacteriota.
GCCGAUGUAGCUCAGUUGGUAGAGCAUCGCUUUCGUAAAGCGAGGGUCGUCAGUUCAAUCCUGACCAUCGGCU